GACGAACGCUGGCGGCGUGCUUAACACAUGCAAGUCGAGCGGUAAGGCUCCUUCGGGAGUACACGAGCGGCGAACGGGUGAGUAACACGUGAGCAAUCUGCCCUUCACUUCGGGAUAACUCCGGGAAACCGGUGCUAAUACCGAAUACGACCACUUCAGGCAUCUGAUGGUGGUGGAAAGUUCCGGCGGUGAAGGAUGAGCUCGCGGCCUAUCAGCUUGUGGUGGGGUAACGGCCCACCAAGGCAACGACGGUAGCCGGCCUGAGAGGGCGGACGGACACACUGGGACUGAGACACGGCCCAGACUCCUACGGGAGGCAGCAGUGGGAAUUGUUCGCAAUGGGCGCAAGCCUGACGACGCAACGCCGCGUGGAGAUGAAGAAUUUCGGUCGUAAACUCCUUUGAUCGGGAAGAACAGCAUUUGGGUGAAUAGCCUGGAUGCCUGACGGUACCGAGAGAAG
Molecule: ribosomal RNA, 460 nt
Filed under: uncultured bacterium
Lineage: Bacteria
Description: bacterial SSU rRNA
Rfam family: Bacterial small subunit ribosomal RNA
Source: RNAcentral